AAUCGGUUCUACGAUGAUGAGGGACGUGUCCCUCGAUAUCGCACCGAGGGGGACAAGCCACGGCAAAAGCACAUAUAAAGUGGAAAGCCGAAACAUCAAGUGUCGGGUAGAGUUUGGUAGGCCGCACCAAGGCUCGAAGAACUCAGGCCCG
This is a small RNA of 151 nucleotides. It matches the Rfam family "RT-3 RNA". The record is from Rfam.